Molecule: ribosomal RNA, 482 nt
Filed under: uncultured bacterium
Lineage: Bacteria
Description: bacterial SSU rRNA
Rfam family: Bacterial small subunit ribosomal RNA
Source: RNAcentral
AGGACGAACGCUGGCGGCGUGCUUAACACAUGCAAGUCGAACGAGAAGUCUGUGGAAAGAGGAUUCGUCCAAUUGAAGCAGAGGACAGUGGCGGACGGGUGAGUAACGCGUGGAUAACCUGCCUCACACAGGGGGACAACAGUUGGAAACGACUGCUAAUACCGCAUAACACAAGUAAUUCGCAUGAAUAACUUGCCAAAGAUUAUAUCGGUGUGAGAUGGAUCCGCGUCUGAUUAGCCAGUUGGCGGGGUAACGGCCCACCAAAGCGACGAUCAGUAGCCGACCUGAGAGGGUGACCGGCCACAUUGGGACUGAGACACGGCCCAAACUCCUACGGGAGGCAGCAGUGGGGAAUAUUGCACAAUGGGCGCAAGCCUGAUGCAGCGACGCCGCGUGAAGGAUGAAGUAUUUCGGUAUGUAAACUUCUAUCAGCAGGGAAGAAAAUGACGGUACCUGACUAAGAAGCCCCGGCUAACUACGUG